CACCUAUAGAACCAGGUGAGACGUGGCGAGGAACAAGGCAAGCAUUUCCCGCCUGAGCUUAGCCACAGGAACAAGCCACUCACCUGAGGGUUCCUUACGCCUGAUUGGUCCUAAAUAUUGGGUUAACGAGUGUGACGUGAUUGGCACGGAGGUCGUCCGACUCGCCCGAGGGAGUCGCACAUAGCCAACUUAUUAUCCUCGGGACGGAGGUGUAGAAGCAGGUGCGUACGAAGAUGAGUACGGCGCCGACGCGAGUGACGACAGAACAACAAACACUCGUGAACUACUAGCUACGCUCCGAUAUAUGUGCCAGUGCCAAAGCGUGAGCAAACAGUUUUGCAAUGUGGUGUUUGUGGUGAGUGUACGACCUAUAGAAAAUGGUGUGUGAAACUGUUCACAAAUGAUUCAAUGUCGAUGCGGAAUCUUAAGGUCACUAUUUAAAGGUAUAUU
This 450-nucleotide long non-coding RNA is filed under the name Penaeus monodon (black tiger shrimp). RNAcentral describes it as "uncharacterized LOC119570298". Lineage: Eukaryota; Metazoa; Arthropoda; Malacostraca; Decapoda; Penaeidae. The record is from RNAcentral.